This 254-nucleotide ribosomal RNA is filed under the name uncultured bacterium. Its description in RNAcentral is "partial 16S ribosomal RNA". It matches the Rfam family "Bacterial small subunit ribosomal RNA", at positions 524 to 776 of the family's 1533-position model. The record is from RNAcentral.
UACGGAGGGUGCGAGCGUUGUCCGGAAUCAUUGGGCGUAAAGGGCGCGUAGGUGGCCCGGUCAGUCUUUGGUGAAAGCGCGGGGCUCAACCCUGCGUCGGCCAGGGAUACUGCCGCGGCUCGAGCACUGUAGAGGCAGGCGGAAUUCCGGGUGUAGCGGUGAAAUGCGCAGAUAUCAGGAGGAACACCGGUGGCGAAGGCGGUGAUCUGGGCCGACACUGACGCUGUAGAGCGAAAGCGUGGGGAGCGAACAGG